RNAcentral lists this long non-coding RNA (1129 nucleotides) under Lotus japonicus. RNAcentral describes it as "long non-coding RNA (LJAP_LNC001204)". The record is from RNAcentral. Lineage: Eukaryota; Viridiplantae; Streptophyta; Magnoliopsida; Fabales; Fabaceae.
ACCCUCUCCUUGGGUUUCUGCAUUCCAGAGCCAUCUUCUCCCCUUGGGGGCUCCUUCUCCUUGGGGAGCCUUUUCUCCUCUUUUAGAGAGUUUUCUUUUGCUACUUAGUAGGUUUCUCCCACAACAGGUGGGUCUUCUUCCACAGUAGGUGAAUUUUCUUCCACAAUAGGUGGAUUUAUUACCCAAAUAAGUGGAUUUUUGUGUUUGUGUUUCAUCCCUUCCCUCUAGCCACCAUGCUCCUCCGUCCUCGCUGCCCCCUUCCUCCACCAUGGCCGCCUUGCCACUGCCGACAUCUCCUCUGUGACCAUCCUUGCAUCCACCCUCACCAUCCUUGUCUCCCUCUGUUCUGAUUUGCGUUUAGUGUGGUUCUGCUUCAGAUCUGCAGUUGUUCUUUUUCAGGAUCCCAAUGUCUUCAGAUUGACUCCCCACAGUGAUGUUGGAGCCACGAUCUAGGCUCCCAUGAAGGUCAUUCAGAGCGAAGCAACCCCGACAGAGUCGGUGGAGUUGCGAGAAGUCGGGCGGGUUCUUAAAGUGGAAUAUUAACACUGCUCAUAAAGUCAGUUUGACUCAUUGGUGAUUUUUGGAAUUUUGAAUAUCUUGCAGGUGCCCAAGCUCCAGAUCUAGCACUAUAUGAUGUUGUGUGGUUGGUUCUACAAAAGUUUUUCCCAUCUCCUUAUACUCAGAGUUGCUGUUUUGACCCCUUGUGGUGCUGUGUUCACCAAUACAAUACAACUCCGGCAGAGCCGUUUCGUAGUAGGAAGGGAGCACCGGUUAAAUAUGUUUUUGUGCCUUCUUUGCUUAGAAGUCAUGGAGCUAUCUGUUUUUUGGGCUUGAGGGGCUUUUGUUUAACUCUAGGGUUUUUGGGUUUUUUACUCCAUGUUUUAACUGGUUGUUCUCAGCUGAGUGUAGACAUGUUGUUCUUAAUUUUCUUAUGCUUUUGUGUAUUGUAGUAGCACUCUUAGAGCAUCUCCAAUGCAAGGUUCUUAGUUCUUAAGAACUAAGAACUGAGUUCUUAACCAUUGGAGGGGAUGACAUGGAGUUCUUAGUUCUUAAAAAUAAGAACGGUUAUUAUAUAAAGAGUUUUACUUUUUAAGUUCUUAUAAACUCUUAUCAUAAAAAAAUAUUUUUC